This 460-nucleotide ribosomal RNA is filed under the name uncultured bacterium. Its description in RNAcentral is "partial 16S ribosomal RNA". It matches the Rfam family "Bacterial small subunit ribosomal RNA", at positions 338 to 795 of the family's 1533-position model. The record is from RNAcentral.
CCUACGGGUGGCAGCAGUGAGGAAUAUUGGUCAAUGGCCGGAAGGCUGAACCAGCCAUGCCGCGUGAAGGUCAGUGCCCUUUGGGCGUUAAACUUCUUUUGUGCGGGAGCAAUAAUGGUCACGUGUGGCCAGACGAGAGUACCGUACGAAUAAGCAUCAGCUAACUCCGUGCCCGCAGCCGCGGUAAUACGGGGGAUGCAAGCGUUAUCCCGGAUUGUUGGGUUUAAAGGGGGCGUAGGUUGGUAGGUAAGUCAGCGGGGAAAUGCCCCCGCUCAACGGGGUGAAGUGCCAUUGAUACUGCCUAGCUGGAGUGCGGAUGCGGUGGGAGGAAUGUGUGGUGUAGCGGUGAAAUGCAUAGAGAUCACACAGAACACUGAUUGCGAAGGCAUCUCACGAAUCCGCGAUUGACGCUGAUGCACGAAAGCGUGGGUAGCAAACAGGAUUAGAUACCCGGGUAGUC